UACGGAGGGUGCGAGCGUUGUCCGGAAUCAUUGGGCGUAAAGGGCGCGUAGGUGGCCCCUCAAGCGUGCGGUGAAAGUCAGGGGCUCAACCCCUGAUCGGCCGUGCGAACUGGGGAGCUUGAGCACUGUAGAGGCAGGCGGAAUUCCGGGUGUAGCGGUGGAAUGCGUAGAAAUCCGGAAGAACACCAGUGGCGAAGGCGGCCCGCUGGGCAGUGGCUGACGCUGAAGCGCGACAGCGUGGGGAGCAAACAGG
RNAcentral lists this ribosomal RNA (253 nucleotides) under uncultured bacterium. RNAcentral describes it as "partial 16S ribosomal RNA". It matches the Rfam family "Bacterial small subunit ribosomal RNA", at positions 524 to 776 of the family's 1533-position model. The record is from RNAcentral.